UAUAUCGGAACGUGCCCAGUAGUGGGGAGUAGCCCGGCGAAAGCCGGAUUAAUACCGCAUACGACCUGAGGGUGAAAGCGGGGGAGUCGCAAGACCUCGCGCUACUGGAGCGGCCGAUAUCAGAUUAGCUAGUUGGUGGGGUAAAGGCCUACCAAGGCAACGAUCUGUAGUUGGUCUGAGAGGACGACCAGCCACACUGGGACUGAGACACGGCCCAGACUCCUACGGGAGGCAGCAGUGGGGAAUUUUGGACAAUGGGCGCAAGCCUGAUCCAGCAAUGCCGCGUGCAGGAAGAAGGCC
RNAcentral lists this ribosomal RNA (300 nucleotides) under uncultured Comamonadaceae bacterium. RNAcentral describes it as "bacterial SSU rRNA". It matches the Rfam family "Bacterial small subunit ribosomal RNA", at positions 114 to 416 of the family's 1533-position model. The record is from RNAcentral. Lineage: Bacteria; Pseudomonadati; Pseudomonadota; Betaproteobacteria; Burkholderiales; Comamonadaceae.